GCGAAGAUAUCUCCGCUACCGGAUAGCAUGCUAGUCGAGCGGACAGAAGGGAGCUGUGCUCCCAGGAUGUUAGCGGCGGACGGGUGAGUAACACGUGGGUAACCUGCCUGUAAGACUGGGAUAACUCCGGGAAACCGGAGCUAAUACCGGAUAGUUCCUUGAACCGCAUGGUUCAAGGAUGAAAGACGGUUUCGGCUGUCACUUACAGAUGGACCCGCGGCGCAUUAGCUAGUUGGUGGGGUAAUGGCUCACCAAGGCGACGAUGCGUAGCCGACCUGAGAGGGUGAUCGGCCACACUGGGACUGAGACACGGCCCAGACUCCUACGGGAGGCAGCAGUAGGGAAUCUUCCGCAAUGGACGAAAGUCUGACGGAGCAACGCCGCGUGAGUGAUGAAGGUUUUCGGAUCGUAAAGCUCUGUUGUUAGGGAAGAACAAGUGCGAGAGUAACUGCUCGCACCUUGACGGUACCUAACCAGAAAGCCACGGCUAACUACGUGCCAGCAGCCGCGGUAAUACGUAGGUGGCAAGCGUUGUCCGGAAUUAUUGGGCGUAAAGGGCUCGCAGGCGGUUUCUUAAGUCUGAUGUGAAAGCCCCCGGCUCAACCGGGGAGGGUCAUUGGAAACUGGGAAACUUGAGUGCAGAAGAGGAGAGUGGAAUUCCACGUGUAGCGGUGAAAUGCGUAGAGAUGUGGAGGAACACCAGUGGCGAAGGCGACUCUCUGGUCUGUAACUGACGCUGAGGAGCGAAAGCGUGGGGAGCGAACAGGAUUAGAUACCCUGGUAGUCCACGCCGUAAACGAUGAGUGCUAAGUGUUUAGGGGGUUUCCGCCCCUUAGUGCUGCAGCUAACGCAUUAAGCACUCCGCCUGGGGAGUACGGUCGCAAGACUGAAACUCAAAGGAAUUGACGGGGGCCGCACAAGCGGUGGAGCAUGUGGUUUAAUUCGAAGCAACGCGAAGAACCUUACCAGGUCUUGACAUCCUCUGACAACCCUAGAGAUAGGGCUUUCCCUUCGGGACAGAAUGACAAGUGGGG
Molecule: ribosomal RNA, 1034 nt
Filed under: Bacillus pumilus
Lineage: Bacteria; Bacillati; Bacillota; Bacilli; Caryophanales; Bacillaceae
Description: bacterial SSU rRNA
Rfam family: Bacterial small subunit ribosomal RNA
Source: RNAcentral